UGGGGAAUAUUGCACAAUGGGCGCAAGCCUGAUGCAGCCAUGCUGCGUGUAUGAAGAAGGCCUUCGGGUUGUAAAGUACUUUCAGCGGGGAGGAAGGGAGUAAAGUUAAUACCUUUGCUCAUUGACGUUACCCGCAGAAGAAGCACCGGCUAACUCCGUGCCAGCAGCCGCGGUAAUACGGAGGGUGCAAGCGUUAAUCGGAAUUACUGGGCGUAAAGCGCACGCAGGGGGUUUGUUAAGUCAGAUGUGAAAUCCCCGGGCUCAACCUGGGAACUGCAUCUGAUACUGGCAAGCUUGAGUCUCGUUGAGGGGGGUAGAAUUCCAGGUGUAGCGGUGAAAUGCGUGGAGAUCUGGAGGAAUACCGGUGACGAAUGCGGCCCCCUGGACGAAGACUGACGCUCAGGUGCGAAAGCGUGGGGAGCAAACAGG
RNAcentral lists this ribosomal RNA (429 nucleotides) under Chloroflexota bacterium. RNAcentral's name for it is "Chloroflexi bacterium partial 16S ribosomal RNA". It matches the Rfam family "Bacterial small subunit ribosomal RNA", at positions 355 to 776 of the family's 1533-position model. Lineage: Bacteria; Bacillati; Chloroflexota. The record is from RNAcentral.